GCACGGAUUAAGAUUCGUGCGAAUUGACGGUACCCACUGAAGGAAGCACCGGUUAACGUCGGUGCCAGCAGCCGCGGUAAUACGGGAGGGUGCAUGCGUUAUUCGGAAUUAUUGGGCGUAAAGGGCGCGCAGGCGGCCCGUUAAGUCAGAUGUGAAAGCCCAGGGCUCAACCCUGGAACUUGCAUUUGAUACUGGCGGGCUUGAGUAUGGGAGAGGAAAGCGGAAUUCCUUGGUGUAGCGGUGAAAUGCGUAGAUAUCAGGAGGAACACCGGUGGCGAAGGCGCUUUCUGGGCCAAUAUGAACGCUGGAGGCGUGAAGGGGUGGGGAGCAAACAGGAUUAGAUACAAAUGGUAGUCCGCGCAGUAAACGGUNGAUCAGUAGGUGUUUGCGGGGUAUUUGACCCCUCUUGGGCCAAAGCUNNCCCUUUGCUUCUGUAGAAUGGCUCUGAGG
This 450-nucleotide ribosomal RNA is filed under the name uncultured delta proteobacterium. RNAcentral's name for it is "bacterial SSU rRNA". It matches the Rfam family "Bacterial small subunit ribosomal RNA", at positions 443 to 893 of the family's 1533-position model. The record is from RNAcentral. Lineage: Bacteria; Deltaproteobacteria.